GCAGAUAAGGUGUUUUUGGUUGCAUCGUAGACUUCCACUCUAUUGGAGCGAGUUCGAAUCUCGCUAUCUGCU
Molecule: transfer RNA, 72 nt
Filed under: Kordia algicida OT-1
Lineage: Bacteria; Pseudomonadati; Bacteroidota; Flavobacteriia; Flavobacteriales; Flavobacteriaceae
Description: tRNA-Gly
Rfam family: tRNA
About the family: Transfer RNA (tRNA) molecules are approximately 80 nucleotides in length. Their secondary structure includes four short double-helical elements and three loops (D, anti-codon, and T loops).
Source: RNAcentral